AUUGAACGCUGGCGGCAGGCCUAACACAUGCAAGUCGAACGGUAACAGGAAGAAGCUUGCUUCUUUGCUGACGAGUGGCGGACGGGUGAGUAAUGUCUGGGAAACUGCCUGAUGGAGGGGGAUAACUACCGGAAACGGUAGCUAAUACCGCAUAACGUCGCAAGACCAAAGAGGGGGACCUUCGGGCCUCUUGCCAUCGGAUGUGCCCAGAUGGGAUUAGCUAGUGGGGGGGGUAAUGGCUAACCUAGGCGACGAUCCCUAGCUGGUGUGAGAGGAUGACCAGCCACACUGGAACUGAGACACGGUCCAGACUCCUACGGGAGGCAGCAGUGGGGAAUAUUGCACAAUGGGCGCAAGCCUGAUGCAGCCAUGCCGCGUGUAUGAAGAAGGCCUUCGGGUUGUAAAGUACUUUCAGCGGGGAGGAAGGGAGUAAAGUUAAUACCUUUGCUCAUUGACGUUACCCGCAGAAGAAGCACCGGCUAACUCCGUGCCAGCAGCCGCGGUAA
This 506-nucleotide ribosomal RNA is filed under the name uncultured bacterium. Its description in RNAcentral is "partial 16S ribosomal RNA". It matches the Rfam family "Bacterial small subunit ribosomal RNA", at positions 30 to 523 of the family's 1533-position model. The record is from RNAcentral.